CCUACGGGUGGCAGCAGUGAGGAAUAUUGGUCAAUGGCCGAGAGGCUGAACCAGCCAAGUCGCGUGAGGGAUGACGGCCCUACGGGUUGUAAACUUCUUUUGUCGGGGAGCAAAGAGAGUCACGUGUGGCUCAUUGAGAGUACCCGAUGAAAAAGCACCGGCUAAUUCCGUGCCAGCCGCCGCGGUACUACGGAGGAUGCGAGGGUUAUCCGGAUUUAUUGGGUUUAAAGGGUGCGGAGGCGGAGGUGUAAGUCAGUGGUAAAAUUGCGGGGCUCAACCCCGUACUGCCGUUGAAACUGGAUCCCUUGAGUGCGCGAGAAGUAUGCGGAAUGCGUGGUGUAGCGGUGAAAUGCAUAGAUAUCACGCAGAACUCCGAUUGCGAAGGCAGCAUACCGGCGCGCAACUGACGCUCAUGCACGAAAGCGUGGGUAUCGAACAGGAUUAGAUACCCCAGUAGUC
RNAcentral lists this ribosomal RNA (459 nucleotides) under uncultured bacterium. RNAcentral describes it as "partial 16S ribosomal RNA". It matches the Rfam family "Bacterial small subunit ribosomal RNA", at positions 338 to 795 of the family's 1533-position model. The record is from RNAcentral.